This is a long non-coding RNA of Cygnus olor (mute swan), 2536 nucleotides long. RefSeq lists it as uncharacterized. The record is from RefSeq and is a predicted model, not a curated record. The transcript has 5 exons. NCBI's taxonomy places the organism in Eukaryota, Metazoa, Chordata, Aves, Anseriformes, Anatidae.
ACAAGGCCUCUUAGCUCUUUUCUCUUAGUACAUUUUCAGUAAUGUUAAAAAAAAAAAAAAAAAGUGAAUGAUAAAUACUUUAACGUAGCAACAGCUGUUAGGUCUGAGAAGCAGUUCUGGUUUUUAUCUUGCUCAGGAUAUUGCUAACCAGAGUAUCCAGUAAUGGGUAUGUGUUGGGAUGUUCAAAACUAUUUUUACAUGUACCGAUAAAGCUGAAGUGUUAAGAGAAAUUUGUGUAUGUGUAAUGAAAUGAAAAGUCAUAUAGCUUCAAGUCCGUAGCUACCUGUAUGAGAGAGAGGAAGUACAAGAAGUGUUGUGGAAUAAGGAAUAGUCCUGUGAGGGAACUAAAAGAAAGCAUCCUUCAGGAAAUGUAUCUGUUUAGCUACAGCUAGGCUGCUGACAAUAAAAGGGAAUCUUAAGAAUGAUGAGCCCUGUGUGAAUGCCUGCUGUGCUGAUCUGCUCAUUCUGUCCCAAAGAAACCUGAGCCGUAGGUUAUCUGAGCCACAGAGAAGGCUGCUCCCUGCUUCUUUCUUUCUCCUGCUGGCAUGCACUGUGGUUUGGGUAUGUAUUCCUUGCAGACAAAGCUAAACGUUGGCUCUGGGUACCCAAGCCCUAAUAUCAUGAGAAAUGCUGCUAUCAGUGCUGAAUGAAGAGACCUACAAAUGUGAACUCCAACGAUAAUCCCUGCAGUGAACCCCAUCAGUGUGAAGUCUUGUUUAUAGAAGUGUACCUGGCACUGAAAGAUAUCUAAUGUAAGGUGGUGCCUUGGGAUACCACCAGUGAAAGGCAGUGAUGAUUGGCUUCAGCUUCAUGGAAGAACUGGGCUAAGUGAUACAGCCUCUUGCUGAACCUGGACUCGUAGAACAUCCUGAGCUGGAAGGGACCUGCAAGGAUCAUUGAGUCUAAGGUUGCUUUUGGAAGGAGUCAGUCAGACCCCUCUCCUGACGGGAACAGAACAAAAUAUAAACGAAGCAGACAGCCCAGCAGGAAGAAGGCUGAAAGCUCGGGAUGUACCAAUGUGCUUUGGAGGGCUGCCUGCUGACUAACGAACAGUCAGGCCUGCUCGCUGCUUCUACAGAGUACUGAGUAUUUAAAUCUUCAAGAACAUUUAAAGAACAAAGGUGAAAAUACCUUCUGUUUCCUCCUGACAUGCUUAUCAGAGCCUGCCUCUGCCCUCUCCUCUGCAGCAGAAGCUGCGCUGCCAGGACUGCACCACACUGAUGUAAACUCUCUUGGCAUCAGCACUGCCAGCCAGCAAACAAACCUCUGCUCUAUGCCUCUGUCAUACAUCUUGCCUUGCUAACAUGGGAAAGACAUGGCGUGGUACAAGUUAAAUACAUCAUUUGGGUGUGAUAUGGUAUCUGCUUCAAGUGUUCAAUAGCCAAGAACGUGAAGUUUAGUGUUUCAUCAUUAUAACACCUGAGGGGCUUAGGGGUGUGUUCUGGCAAUGGGAUGAGGUAUUGUCACGGAUGGGAUACGGUGCUAGAUCAGUCUGGAUUGCUAGACAAAUGGGCGCCUGUGCUAAGAUUGUGAAAUAAAGCUCCUUUCAGCAUGGGAGAGGGAAGCGAACGCCCUGAGAGAGCAAAGUCCUUCGAGUACCUGGCAGCAUGCUGGCACCGGCAGCAGCUGGCACAGGUAGUCAGCAGAACCAAAUUGAAGAGGUCAGGGAAAGUGCGGGGAAGUCUUUUUUAUCUGGUCAGGCGUGCACCCAAAACUAGUCAUGCUUUCGCUUGUUCAGCAGUACAAAUCUAGGAGCAAAAUGCAUCAGAGACAUCAGAUGCCCUUCAUCUCAUUUACUGGAUAAAAGAAUACGGUGAGUGGAAAGCUGCUUCGCACAUGUGCUGUUUUUUUGUCACUCCAAUUGCAGUAGAAAUAGAAGUGCUUCCUUUUAAACUGUUUUCUAUUGUUGAUGGAUUAGGGUUUUUACCUUCCUCAAGCCUUAAUUCUAGUGAUGAAAUUUAGUUUUAAAUAGUCCUGCUGCCAGCACCAGUGUCUGUUCUGUCUCUGCAAACUCAGGCAUGUCAGUGAACAGUUCUGCAACAGUGCUGGUGAUGCUGCACCAACAGAGAGAAAACCUUUCUAUAACUGGUACCAAAUGCUGACUGAGCAAGCUUAUAGCAUUUAACCGCUAUUUAAAUGUGCAGAGAAAACAAGCAACCCGCUCCUUUACUGUGUCUUUCCUGCUUUCUCCCCUGCAAAGAAACCCAUCCCACAAACUGCCUGUUGCUGCUCUGUAGGUACUUGCAUGUUCCGAACUGGCAGACCCACGCAUGCCUCAAACCUAAUUAAGAUGUCUCCCAAACCAGAGAUAGGAAUGUGUAUUUCAGUGUUGGUAAAUACAAUUUGGAGUGGCAUUCCUUAAGGCAUUCUACUUUUCAGGUACUAUUUGUACUUUCAUUAUCCCAAGUCAGACUUGUGCAUUACUAGGGUGACGUUGCUAACCUUUUGGUGGGGAUCUGAGUAAUCACUGGCAGCAGCGGGCACAGACCCUUACAGGUGCAUGGAUUGCAAUUGCAUGUGCCUUAUUUCCUCUAUA